Molecule: ribosomal RNA, 2902 nt
Filed under: Klebsiella pneumoniae
Lineage: Bacteria; Pseudomonadati; Pseudomonadota; Gammaproteobacteria; Enterobacterales; Enterobacteriaceae
Description: 23S ribosomal RNA
Rfam family: Bacterial large subunit ribosomal RNA
Source: RNAcentral
GGUUAAGCGACUAAGCGUACACGGUGGAUGCCCUGGCAGUCAGAGGCGAUGAAGGACGUGCUAAUCUGCGAAAAGCGUCGGUAAGGUGAUAUGAACCGUUAUAGCCGGCGAUGUCCGAAUGGGGAAACCCAGUGCAAUUCGUUGCACUAUCGUUAACUGAAUACAUAGGUUAACGAGGCGAACCGGGGGAACUGAAACAUCUAAGUACCCCGAGGAAAAGAAAUCAACCGAGAUUCCCCCAGUAGCGGCGAGCGAACGGGGAGCAGCCCAGAGUCUGAAUCAGCUUGUGUGUUAGUGGAACGGUCUGGAAAGUCCGACGGUACAGGGUGAUAGUCCCGUACACCAAAAUGCACAGGCUGUGAACUCGAAGAGUAGGGCGGGACACGUGGUAUCCUGUCUGAAUAUGGGGGGACCAUCCUCCAAGGCUAAAUACUCCUGACUGACCGAUAGUGAACCAGUACCGUGAGGGAAAGGCGAAAAGAACCCCGGCGAGGGGAGUGAAAAAGAACCUGAAACCGUGUACGUACAAGCAGUGGGAGCACCUUCGGGUGUGACUGCGUACCUUUUGUAUAAUGGGUCAGCGACUUAUAUUCUGUAGCAAGGUUAACCGUAUAGGGGAGCCGCAGGGAAACCGAGUCUUAACUGGGCGUUAAGUUGCAGGGUAUAGACCCGAAACCCGGUGAUCUAGCCAUGGGCAGGUUGAAGGUUGGGUAACACUAACUGGAGGACCGAACCGACUAAUGUUGAAAAAUUAGCGGAUGACUUGUGGCUGGGGGUGAAAGGCCAAUCAAACCGGGAGAUAGCUGGUUCUCCCCGAAAGCUAUUUAGGUAGCGCCUCGUGAACUCAUCUUCGGGGGUAGAGCACUGUUUCGGCUAGGGGGUCAUCCCGACUUACCAACCCGAUGCAAACUACGAAUACCGAAGAAUGUUAUCACGGGAGACACACGGCGGGUGCUAACGUCCGUCGUGAAGAGGGAAACAACCCAGACCGCCAGCUAAGGUCCCAAAGUCAUGGUUAAGUGGGAAACGAUGUGGGAAGGCACAGACAGCCAGGAUGUUGGCUUAGAAGCAGCCAUCAUUUAAAGAAAGCGUAAUAGCUCACUGGUCGAGUCGGCCUGCGCGGAAGAUGUAACGGGGCUAAACCAUGCACCGAAGCUGCGGCAGCGACACUAUGUGUUGUUGGGUAGGGGAGCGUUCUGUAAGCCUGCGAAGGUGUGCUGUGAGGCAUGCUGGAGGUAUCAGAAGUGCGAAUGCUGACAUAAGUAACGAUAAAGCGGGUGAAAAGCCCGCUCGCCGGAAGACCAAGGGUUCCUGUCCAACGUUAAUCGGGGCAGGGUGAGUCGACCCCUAAGGCGAGGCCGAAAGGCGUAGUCGAUGGGAAACAGGUUAAUAUUCCUGUACUUGGUGUUACUGCGAAGGGGGGACGGAGAAGGCUAUGUUAGCCGGGCGACGGUUGUCCCGGUUUAAGCAUGUAGGCUGGUUAUCCAGGCAAAUCCGGAUAAUCAAGGCUGAGGUGUGAUGACGAGGCACUACGGUGCUGAAGUAACAAAUGCCCUGCUUCCAGGAAAAGCCUCUAAGCAUCAGGUAACAUCAAAUCGUACCCCAAACCGACACAGGUGGUCAGGUAGAGAAUACCAAGGCGCUUGAGAGAACUCGGGUGAAGGAACUAGGCAAAAUGGUGCCGUAACUUCGGGAGAAGGCACGCUGGUGUGUAGGUGAAGUCCCUGCGGAUGGAGCUGAGACCAGUCGAAGAUACCAGCUGGCUGCAACUGUUUAUUAAAAACACAGCACUGUGCAAACACGAAAGUGGACGUAUACGGUGUGACGCCUGCCCGGUGCCGGAAGGUUAAUUGAUGGGGUUAUCCGUAAGGAGAAGCUCUUGAUCGAAGCCCCGGUAAACGGCGGCCGUAACUAUAACGGUCCUAAGGUAGCGAAAUUCCUUGUCGGGUAAGUUCCGACCUGCACGAAUGGCGUAAUGAUGGCCAGGCUGUCUCCACCCGAGACUCAGUGAAAUUGAACUCGCUGUGAAGAUGCAGUGUACCCGCGGCAAGACGGAAAGACCCCGUGAACCUUUACUAUAGCUUGACACUGAACAUUGAGCCUUGAUGUGUAGGAUAGGUGGGAGGCUUUGAAGCGUGGACGCCAGUCUGCGUGGAGCCAACCUUGAAAUACCACCCUUUAAUGUUUGAUGUUCUAACGUUGGCCCCUGACCGGGGUUGCGGACAGUGUCUGGUGGGUAGUUUGACUGGGGCGGUCUCCUCCCAAAGCGUAACGGAGGAGCACGAAGGUUAGCUAAUCCUGGUCGGACAUCAGGAGGUUAGUGCAAUGGCAUAAGCUAGCUUGACUGCGAGCGUGACGGCGCGAGCAGGUGCGAAAGCAGGUCAUAGUGAUCCGGUGGUUCUGAAUGGAAGGGCCAUCGCUCAACGGAUAAAAGGUACUCCGGGGAUAACAGGCUGAUACCGCCCAAGAGUUCAUAUCGACGGCGGUGUUUGGCACCUCGAUGUCGGCUCAUCACAUCCUGGGGCUGAAGUAGGUCCCAAGGGUAUGGCUGUUCGCCAUUUAAAGUGGUACGCGAGCUGGGUUUAGAACGUCGUGAGACAGUUCGGUCCCUAUCUGCCGUGGGCGCUGGAGAAUUGAGGGGGGCUGCUCCUAGUACGAGAGGACCGGAGUGGACGCAUCACUGGUGUUCGGGUUGUCAUGCCAAUGGCACUGCCCGGUAGCUAAAUGCGGAAGAGAUAAGUGCUGAAAGCAUCUAAGCACGAAACUUGCCCCGAGAUGAGUUCUCCCUGAGACUUUAAGUCUCCUGAAGGAACGUUGAAGACGACGACGUUGAUAGGCCGGGUGUGUAAGCGCAGCGAUGCGUUGAGCUAACCGGUACUAAUGAACCGUGAGGCUUAACCUU